Molecule: ribosomal RNA, 203 nt
Filed under: Nicotiana attenuata
Lineage: Eukaryota; Viridiplantae; Streptophyta; Magnoliopsida; Solanales; Solanaceae
Description: rRNA SSU_rRNA_eukarya
Rfam family: Eukaryotic small subunit ribosomal RNA
Source: RNAcentral
AAUUCUAAGUACAAAGUUGCUGAAAUAUUGGCCGAGUGUUGGAGCAGGCUGAAGUCAAGUCGAGUCUUGGCUGCCGCGCGGGCUGUUUUCUGUGACAUAAAACGUGCCCGUGACACCUACCAUGGUGGUGACAGGUGACGGAGAAUUAGGGUUCGAUUCUGGAGAGGUAGCUUGAGAAACGGCAACCACAUCCAAGGAAGGCA